CCUACGGGUGGCAGCAGUGGGGAAUAUUGGACAAUGGGGGAAACCCUGAUCCAGCGAUGCCGCGUGAGUGAAGAAGGUCUUUGGAUUGUAAAGCUCUUUUAUGGGGGAAGAUAAUGACGGUACCCUAGGAAAAAGCUCCGGCUAACUUCGUGCCAGCAGCCGCGGUAAUACGAAGGGAGCUAGCGUUGUUCGGAAUAACUGGGCGUAAAGGGUGCGUAGGUGGUGAUAUAAGUCAGUUGUGAAAGGUCUGGGCUUAACCUGGGAUUGGCAAUUGAUACUGUAUUACUUGAGUAUGGAAGGGGAGAACGGAAUUGCGCAUGGAGAGGUGAAAUUCGUAGAUAUGCGUAGGAACACCGGUGGUGAAGACGGUUCUCUGGUACAAUACUGACACUGAGGCACGAAAGCGUGGGGAGCAAACAGGAUUAGAUACCCCUGUAGUCC
RNAcentral lists this ribosomal RNA (441 nucleotides) under uncultured Polynucleobacter sp. RNAcentral's name for it is "bacterial SSU rRNA". It matches the Rfam family "Bacterial small subunit ribosomal RNA", at positions 338 to 796 of the family's 1533-position model. Lineage: Bacteria; Pseudomonadati; Pseudomonadota; Betaproteobacteria; Burkholderiales; Burkholderiaceae. The record is from RNAcentral.